CCUACGGGAGGCAGCAGUGGGGAAUAUUGCACAAUGGGGGAAACCCUGAUGCAGCGACGCCGCGUGAAGGAUGAAGUAUUUCGAUAUGUAAACUUCUAUCAGCAGGGAAGAAAAUGACGGUACCUGACUAAGAAGCCCCGGCUAACUACGUGCCAGCAGCCGCGGUAAUACGUAGGUGGCAAGCGUUAUCCGGAUUUACUGGGUGUAAAGGGCGUGUAGGCGGGGACGCAAGUCAGAUGUGAAAACCACGGGCUCAACCUGUGGCCUGCAUUUGAAACUGUGUUUCUUGAGUACUGGAGAGGCAGACGGAAUUCCUAGUGUAGCGGUGAAAUGCGUAGAUAUACGGAGGAACACCAGUGGCGAAGGCGGCCUGCUGGACAUUAACUGACGCUGAGGCGCGAAAGCGUGGGGAGCAAACAGGAUUAGAUACCCCAGUAGUC
RNAcentral lists this ribosomal RNA (440 nucleotides) under uncultured bacterium. RNAcentral describes it as "partial 16S ribosomal RNA". It matches the Rfam family "Bacterial small subunit ribosomal RNA", at positions 338 to 795 of the family's 1533-position model. The record is from RNAcentral.